GGACGUAAAAAAUAUGUAUUGUAGAAAUGAUCAGACUUUCAGGUAAAGCGCAUGAAAUAUAUGUGGAUCUGACCACUUUUGAUAUAUGGGAACUGACUUGCAACAACAUGUGGUGUCACCACUUGAAGGAAUAUCAAAGACAUAAUGUAGACAUAACAACGUUCUACACCUAUUUUACAUUUUAAACUCCCACAUGUUCCCCUUGAAACGAACAAUAUAACUAUCAUUGGCAUCUCCCUCUACUCCGUCACCAUCAUGGCUUCUGGGAUGCUCUGCCAUGACUCUGUGAAUAACAUCUAGUGCUUGCUUAAAGUUGAUUUUAUAUUUCCAAAAGGUCUCCUUCCACAUGUCUAUUUGCUUGUACAAAUCGACGGGGCUCAUCCUUUUGUCACAGGUGUGGAUGAUACCUUGUUCUACUAGAUUGUCAUCUUCUAAAAAGACCCACAGAACAGUAGAGGCACCCACAACCAUACUAGAAUAAAUGAGAAAGAACAGUCAUGUCGUGCAUGCAAACCAAUGACAUAAAAUAGACGACAUAGUCAUGUAUCAAAUGCAUACCCGUCAAAUAAACUCAUAUUCAGUGAUUUAGGAGGGUACGGUAGGAUGCAUUACCUUCCAAUCCUGGCAUUCAAGGAAGAAUCGAUUGAAGAUCAUCAUUUCCACAAUCCUUUGGCCACAUGGAAGAUCACAAGAGCACCUCAUUGUCUUCCAUGAAUCAUUAUCGGUCGGCCUGAUAUCUGUAGAUGUCAUGGUGUGGAAACGACCUUGGUGUAAUGUCCUUGGAUCCAAAUUACGCAUUUCUAGGAGAUGUCAAUGCAUAGCGGCAAGUGUGGGAAGGAGAAUUAGUUUCCAAUAAUGAUAAGAACUAAGUGAAGGUUUCUUGUGUAUUUAAAGGGGGGAAUGGGCAGCCUAGGAGAUGGA
This 921-nucleotide long non-coding RNA is filed under the name Linum usitatissimum (flax). Its description in RNAcentral is "long non-coding RNA (LUSI_LNC002347)". The record is from RNAcentral. Lineage: Eukaryota; Viridiplantae; Streptophyta; Magnoliopsida; Malpighiales; Linaceae.